CGCGCGACGUUUCUGUCCAAUAAAAAUCGCUCGCCUCGAAAAAACGGCGUCAGUAGUUUUAUGGGUUUCUCUGAUAUCAGAAACACUGUGUUUUUCAGCUGUUUCUGACCCGUUUAAUUUACUUAUUUUCCUCAUUUUAAGGGGGGGUUACCAGUAUAUAAAGAGAUGUGAAGGUAAACGGACCAGAGGGAAGGUUUUCCUCCUCCUUAUACACUGAAUUUGUCAAGUGACCUAGAAGAUAUAUCCCAAUCAGCUUCACUCCACGACCUAGAGUUUCAGGACUGAUUUCUUCAGGAGAUCUGUCUGCUGCAAGGUGAGAUGAUAUCAAAUAACUUGUAUGCAUAUGAAAUAAAAUUAUUGAAGGAAUGGCAUUUAUAUAGAAAUAAACACUCUUGAUAGAUGAUACUAUAGAUGUUCCCACAGCAUGAGAAAACAACAUUCUCUUCUUUCUUAAAAGCAGAUUUAUUAACUAUAUUUGCUUUGUUUCUACUCUUUUAACAGGUUUCAGAAAAUAGCGAGCCUGCUGGAGGAUUUUCUGCUAAAAUAGGCUAUUCCUCAACGAAACCUAACCAGCAUUAACACAAAUAAAAAAAAAAAAGUGUACAAAAAGGCGGAUAAGAUUAUGAUCCCAUAAGAGAUCAUAUCAACUUCUUUCCCCAUAUAUACAUAUACAUUAAAUAUACAUUACUGCUUUAUUUAUAACCUUUAGAGGAUGUAUGUUUCAGCUUUUGUUUACCAUGGUGUGUUUAACAUUAUGUCCAUGUAAACAUUUAAGGAACAACCUCUUUCAGCCAAGCUUAAGAAAGUAACCAUAGGUAAUCAAAAGCUUGGUCUACUAGAUGUGCUCUUGAUUUCUUAAGUCUUACAUGAAUUUCAAAUAAUCCAUAUUUUAAAAGUUAUUUAUUUAUAUUAAACAAGUUUUGCCAAAUCUAGACCCGACCUGAACACUUUACCUGCCUUCAACUGCAAAAACAAACUAGAGGAACUCAAUUUGAUGAUACUUUAUUUGUUUUUAUUGCACAAAUAUUACAAAUAAAUGUCAAAAAACAACA
Long non-coding RNA from Astyanax mexicanus (Mexican tetra), 1052 nucleotides. RefSeq lists it as uncharacterized. Lineage: Eukaryota; Metazoa; Chordata; Actinopteri; Characiformes; Acestrorhamphidae. The transcript is spliced from 2 exons. The record is from RefSeq and is a predicted model, not a curated record.